GCCGGAGUGGCGGAAUGGCAGACGCAGGGGACUCAAAAUCCCCCGCUCUUCACGGGCAUGUGGGUUCGACUCCCACCUCCGGCACCA
This 87-nucleotide transfer RNA is filed under the name Acidobacteriota bacterium. RNAcentral's name for it is "tRNA-Leu". It matches the Rfam family "tRNA". From Rfam's summary of the family: Transfer RNA (tRNA) molecules are approximately 80 nucleotides in length. The record is from RNAcentral. RNAcentral also lists the same sequence under 2 other names. Lineage: Bacteria; Pseudomonadati; Acidobacteriota.